Non-coding RNA from Mycena rebaudengoi, 97 nucleotides. The record is from the annotation of a GenBank genome assembly. Lineage: Eukaryota; Fungi; Basidiomycota; Agaricomycetes; Agaricales; Mycenaceae.
GGCUGUGUGGUGAAAUGGUAUCGUGUCUGACUACGAUUCCUCCAUUUUUCCGCCCUAUGUAAUCAGGAGACUCUGGGUUCAAUCCCUAGGAUGGCCU